CGACUGCUAAGACUGGAUAGGAAAUUAGAAGGCAUCUUUUAUUUUUAAAAGACCUUUUUCGAAAGGUAUACUUAAAGAGGGGCUUGCGGCACAUUAGUUAGUUGGUAGGGUAAAAGCCUACCAAGACCAUGAUGUGUAGCUGGACUGAGAGGUUGAACAGCCACAUUGGGACUGAGACACGGCCCAAACUCCUACGGGAGGCAGCAGUAGGGAAUUUUCGGCAAUGGAGGAAACUCUGACCGAGCAACGCCGCGUGAACGAUGAAGUAUUUCGGUAUGUAAAGUUCUUUUAUUGGAGAAGAAAAAAUAGUGGAAAAACUAUCUUGACGAUAUUCAAUGAAUAAGCCCCGGCAAACUAUGUGCCAGCAGCCGCGGUAAUACAUAGGGGGCGAGCGUUAUCCGGAAUUAUUGGGCGUAAAGGGUGCGUAGGCGGUAUGGUAAGUCUAUAGUUUAAUUUCAGUGCUUAACGCUGUUCUGCUAUAGAAACUAUCAGACUAGAGUAAGAUAGAGGCAAGUGGAAUUCCAUGUGUAGCGGUAAAAUGCGUAAAUAUAUGGAGGAACACCAGUGGCGUAGGCGGCUUGCUGGGUCUUUACUGACGCUGAGGCACGAAAGCGUGGGGAGCAAACAGGAUUAGAUACCCUGGUAGUCCACGCCGUAAAGAUGAGUACUAAGUGUCGGGGAAACUCGGUACUGAAGUUAACACAUUAAGUACUCCGCCUGAGUAGUACGUACGCAAGUAUGAAACUUAAAGGAAUUGACGGGACUCCGCACAAGCGGUGGAUCAUGUUGUUUAAUUCGAAGAUACACGAAAAACCUUACCAGGUCUUGAUAUACUCUGCAAAGCAAUAGCAAUAUAGUGGAGAUUAUCAGGGAUACAGGUGGUGCAUGGUUGUCGUCAGCUCGUGUCGUGAGAUGUUAGGUUAAGUCCUAAAACGAGCGCAACCCUUGUCACUAGUUGCCAGCAUGUUAUGAUGGGCACUUUAGUGAGACUGCCAAUGAGAAAUUGGAGGAAGGCGAGGAUCACGUCAAAUCAUCAUGCCCCUUAUGAUCUGGGCUACAAACGUGAUACAAUGGCUGUUACAAAGAGUAGCUAAAACGCGAGUUUAUAGCCAAUCUCAUAAAAGCAGUCUCAGUUCGGAUUGAAGUCUGCAACUCGACUUCAUGAAGUUGGAAUCGCUAGUAAUCGCGAAUCAGCAUGUCGCGGUGAAUACGUUCGCGGGGUUUGUACACACCGCCCGUCA
RNAcentral lists this ribosomal RNA (1241 nucleotides) under Candidatus Phytoplasma cynodontis. RNAcentral describes it as "bacterial SSU rRNA". It matches the Rfam family "Bacterial small subunit ribosomal RNA", at positions 157 to 1399 of the family's 1533-position model. The record is from RNAcentral. Lineage: Bacteria; Bacillati; Mycoplasmatota; Mollicutes; Acholeplasmatales; Acholeplasmataceae.